Non-coding RNA from Apiotrichum porosum, 89 nucleotides. The record is from the annotation of a RefSeq genome assembly. Lineage: Eukaryota; Fungi; Basidiomycota; Tremellomycetes; Trichosporonales; Trichosporonaceae.
ACACCGUUGGUGAAACGGUAUCAUGCGUCGUUGCCACUCCUACAAGAGAACGAUUCGACGCGGCAGGGGUUCGACUCCCUUACGGUGUA